AUAAUACAGUGCUGACCUGUACUAAAUGGUUCUUCUAAAAAUCUUGCUCAGGCUUCACAGGAAACAGAACUUGGGCUUCUCAGGGAAAAAAAGUCAGACAGCAUUAGGCAUGUUCCUUGCUGAUUUUGGCGAGACACCUGCAGAUGGUCCAUUCUUGGUAUUUCCUUUGUUUUCAGCAGGACCCUUGGAAUGAUGACACUGUCACACUCAUGCUCUGAAUCACUCAGAAUCUCAGGUUUUCCUUCCUGCAAUAGGCCCUGACGUUAGGUAAGAGUCAGGGCAAUGCCAUUUCUAUUUCUGCCAUGGAUUUAAAGGCUCUUGGAGUGACAGGUUAACCCUCUGUGUUUCACUGUAUUUUUGUAAAAUAAGCAUAAAAAAGCUUGCACCAACUACAGAGGAAGAGUGUAAUGAGACUAAUUAUCAGUGUUUCUGAAGAACCAUUAUAUCCUCAGGCCAAAUGUGUUAUUGGCAAUGUUUCUGACUCUUUUAAGUGCCAACCUGAGCAAUAGGCACCAAAUUCUUUCUUCCCUUAAGGCCACUGAAGACAGCAGACCAGGUUCUGUUCUCAGAUCUGAUCCCAUCACAUUUUAACACAAAUCUCUUCAGGAUUACUAUUAAAAUUGAGACCUCUUUUAUAUCUGCAAAAUCUUUAAGAAAAAACAAAAAAAAGCCUAUCAGUGACAAAAGUUGAGCUCCAUCUGCCUAGCACACUGCUCGGCCUGGUUUCAAGUAUCAUACCUGCACCUGUGACACAUGUUUUGUGUUUAAAGCGACACAAUUAGAGAUAAUGGAGAAAAAUAUACUUUAUGUGUGUACAUUUAUAUAUCAAUAUAAAAUUUAUAUUCUGCAGGAUGAAAGCUACCUGAAGCUGGAAUCAAAAUUCCAUAAAUAUGUGGAAUGGAAUAAGCACUGUGACAAAGAGACACAGCAAAAUCACCACAGAAAAGAGAGUGAGCUUGGUCCCUGCCCCAAGGACAGCCUGAGGAUGCCCAAGCUGGUCCAGAUUCUCCAGGACUCCAUCUCUGCUAAUCACAGUGGAAAGACAAAGGUGCAGCUCAUUUGUACAAACUUCCAUAAAGACAGUAGUAGAAUCUUCCCUCUGGCAAUUCCUCCAGUUCUUUACUUCAAAAGAGAAAAAUCUCCAAGAAUGCACAAGUCAGAUCUGAGGUAUUUCAAGAAAGAGUGAAGAUCAUGUCUUGACCGAUGAGAUGCAGUUAAAUGGAUAGGUGCUGAU
Molecule: long non-coding RNA, 1234 nt
Filed under: Parus major (Great Tit)
Lineage: Eukaryota; Metazoa; Chordata; Aves; Passeriformes; Paridae
Description: lncRNA (ENSPMJG00000017903.1)
Source: RNAcentral